RNAcentral lists this ribosomal RNA (465 nucleotides) under uncultured bacterium. RNAcentral's name for it is "bacterial SSU rRNA". It matches the Rfam family "Bacterial small subunit ribosomal RNA", at positions 198 to 644 of the family's 1533-position model. The record is from RNAcentral.
GGAGGAAAGCAGGGGAUCGCAAGACCUUGCGCCCUUGGAGCGGCCGAUGCCUGAUUAGCUAGUUGGUGAGGUAAAGGCUUACCAAGGCGACGAUCAGUAGCUGGUCUGAGAGGACGACCAGCCACACUGGGACUGAGACACGGCCCAGACUCCUACGGGAGGCAGCAGUGGGGAAUUUUGGACAAUGGGGGAAACCCUGAUCCAGCCAUGCCGCGUGAGUGAAGAAGGCCUUCGGGUUGUAAAGCUCUUUCAGCCGGAACGAAACGGUCACGGCUAAUACCUGUGACUACUGACGGUACCGGAAGAAGAAGCACCGGCUAACUACGUGCCAGCAGCCGCGGUAAUACGUAGGGUGCAAGCGUUAAUCGGAAUUACUGGGCGUAAAGCGUGCGCAGGCGGUUUUGUAAGUCAGAUGUGAAAUCCCCGGGCUUAACCUGGGAACUGCGUUUGAAACUACAAGGCUAG